RNAcentral lists this non-coding RNA (97 nucleotides) under Candidatus Latescibacterota bacterium. RNAcentral describes it as "Latescibacteria bacterium c-di-GMP sequence". It matches the Rfam family "c-di-GMP-I-GGC riboswitch aptamer". Lineage: Bacteria; Pseudomonadati; Candidatus Latescibacterota. The record is from RNAcentral.
CUUGAAAAGAGCAAACCAGCCGAAAGGCUGGGACGCAGAGCAACGGGGCUGUGAUGGAGCGAUUGGGUCGCUCCGUCUGCCAGCCGUGCCGCCAAGG